Molecule: long non-coding RNA, 769 nt
Organism: Monopterus albus (swamp eel)
Lineage: Eukaryota; Metazoa; Chordata; Actinopteri; Synbranchiformes; Synbranchidae
Exons: 3
Source: RefSeq, a predicted model, not a curated record
UUAUUAAAAAUACAGAACUCUACUCCUGCCUGCCUGUGUGUCUGCGAUUGGGGCCUCCAGCACUUCAUUUUGCAAAACUUUUCAAGCUGUAAAACUUAACUUGCAAAUCUUUUUAACUCACAAGCAAAAUAUUACUCUCAUAUGUCUAUUUGAUUGCAUAUUAAAGACUCACCUUCAUACAGGGUUCUGUGAAUGGGUGAAAAACCAGGAAGAUGCAUUCACCAAUGGAUGGUCAGUCUUGAAGGCCAAGUCAUUUGUGAGGGCAUCCGGCCAGCUUUUCUAUCUGGACUUGCUGCUGUGUUUUGUACUUACUACAAUUUCAAUUUGGAGUACCAAGCUGAAGCUGUAUGCACGAUGGAAUUCAUUCAGAGGCGCGUUAUUGGGAUUGAUCCAAAGCUGGAUGAGUCCUUUCGAAGAAGACGGGGAAGGUCACCCACAAAAAGGCAUCGGUCAACCACCGUGUCGCAACUCUUCUAAAAAGCCUGAUGGAUUUUGAGUGGGACUUCAUUUAAGUAUACCCAUCAGAUCAAUGGCUGUACUGACAACUGUGAGGCACAGGUUUCUUUCAUUUCUUAUUCUAGUUUAGGGCCAACAAACCAACUUUUGGUUCUAUUCAGCUACAUUUUCAGCCACAGCAGGCAGUGUGUUUUUGUUGCUUUCACUGUGCACUUUAACUUUUCAUUUUUUUUAAAUAGCUGAUUUAUUUUUAUUUUUGACAAAUGUUUAGGCUUUUGUUCAAGAUUUAAUAAAGAUACAUGUUUUGAAAUUA